This 468-nucleotide ribosomal RNA is filed under the name uncultured bacterium. RNAcentral's name for it is "partial 16S ribosomal RNA". It matches the Rfam family "Bacterial small subunit ribosomal RNA", at positions 28 to 507 of the family's 1533-position model. The record is from RNAcentral.
GACGAACGCUGGCGGCGUGCUUAACACAUGCAAGUCGAACGGAAAGGCCCUGCUUUUGUGGGGUGCUCGAGUGGCGAACGGGUGAGUAACACGUGAGUAACCUGCCCUUGACUUUGGGAUAACUUCAGGAAACUGGGGCUAAUACCGGAUAGGAGCUCCUGCUGCAUGGUGGGGGUUGGAAAGUUUCGGCGGUUGGGGAUGGACUCGCGGCUUAUCAGCUUGUUGGUGGGGUAGUGGCUUACCCAGGCUUUGACGGGUAGCCGGCCUGAGAGGGUGACCGGCCACAUUGGGACUGAGAUACGGCCCAGCCUCCUACGGGAGGCAGCAGUGGGGAAUAUUGCACAAUGGGCGGAAGCCUGAUGCAGCAACGCCGCGUGCGGGAUGACGGCCUUCGGGUUGUAAACCGCUUUCGCCUGUGACGAAGCGUGAGUGACGGUAAUGGGUAAAGAAGCACCGGCUAACUACGUG